Molecule: transfer-messenger RNA, 426 nt
Filed under: Candidatus Moraniibacteriota bacterium
Lineage: Bacteria; Candidatus Moraniibacteriota
Description: Candidatus Moranbacteria bacterium transfer-messenger RNA
Rfam family: transfer-messenger RNA
About the family: Bacterial tmRNA, also known as 10Sa RNA or SsrA, is named for its dual tRNA and mRNA-like properties.
Source: RNAcentral
GGGGCUGUUAGACUUGACGGAAUGAUCUUUGUCAAAGAAGCGAACCGAUCUAUCACGAUUAUAUCGAUAAACUGAUCGUGAAAACAUACGUGCAACCGUAUUCAACAAGGCUAAAGAAGCUAUUGCGAAAGCAUUUAAUCCUUCUUUUGCCCCAGCUUUAGCCUAAAUUGCCAAAGCCAUCGAAAUUUGUGAGUGUCUCAUAACAAAUUUUCGGUGUCAUAUAUAUGAGACUGGUUUUUCUUUUUUCUCACAAAAGAAAAAUAAGAUAUUGUGAGGCGAUAGCUAUAUUUUUUCUGUCUUUCUCCAAGAUAUAUCUACCGUAAUCGAGAUUCCGUAUUGCACGGAUUCUCGUUAAGAAAGACUGCGUUCGGAGAAACUUUGAUAUUUACGUUACCGGACAUGGGAUCAAUCCCAUCAGCUCCACAU